This 830-nucleotide long non-coding RNA is filed under the name Mustela putorius furo (domestic ferret). Its description in RNAcentral is "lncRNA (ENSMPUG00000028617.1)". Lineage: Eukaryota; Metazoa; Chordata; Mammalia; Carnivora; Mustelidae. The record is from RNAcentral.
GUGUAAUCACCACACGCAGUCACCCCUGCUCCCUCCCUCCUCUCUCACUCUCCCUCCCGCCCAGCCAAGCUAGGUCCUGCCCCCAAAGACCUGCCUGGGACUUCUCUGGCGCUGGGCCGGUGGGAUCAUUUUGUUCCCCUCCUGACCCCCCGCUGCCUCUGGAAGGCCCCACCUUCCACCGGGUAUAAACUCAGCAGCUGCUAUGGUUUGAGACCCCCGAGCUGAGAUCCGUGGGCUGGAAGGGCUUUGCUCCGGAUUCUCAGCCUCCAGGGUGGGUAGCCACGGACUAAAGCCGAUGUUGUACAAGGUGGAGGGUGGACAGAGACCUGGGUGUGCAGGGGGCCUUGCAGUCAGCUCUCUGACUGGGUCCCUCUUCUGCAGACUCCCUCCGGCUCCUCAGCCCUUCCAGAAGCUUAGGAGGACAACAGGAGGGUCGUUGGGCAGUUCCUGAAAGGGCCCUGGGGCCUGCCUCUGACUGGGAAGUCUGGCUGCAGCUCCUUCGAGGAGUUGUCCAGUGGGGAAGGAAGGUCGCUCGGUCACCAGCUGGUUUCUCCUGCCACAGUUGUCGUGGAUGCGGCUUCUGUAUCCAGCAUCCUCCCUUGGAUCAAUAUCCAUUCACACCAUUCAGCAAAUACAAGGUGCCAGCACAGUGCUUGGCACUGGAGAGACGUGGCAUGUGGAACAGACAUGGAAUUUACAACAUGUACCUUUUCAAACAUUUUCUGGUGUAUAUGCAAUGAGUGGGCGUAGAGACUAAAAAAUGCACACAUAAGCACAUACGAACUAAAUUUCUCUUAUCCUCUUUUUUUUUUUUUUUUUUUAAAUACCUA